RNAcentral lists this transfer RNA (73 nucleotides) under Bacteroidota bacterium. RNAcentral describes it as "Bacteroidetes bacterium tRNA-Thr". It matches the Rfam family "tRNA". From Rfam's summary of the family: Transfer RNA (tRNA) molecules are approximately 80 nucleotides in length. RNAcentral also lists the same sequence under 1 other name. The record is from RNAcentral. Lineage: Bacteria; Pseudomonadati; Bacteroidota.
GCCAUCCUAGCUCAGCUGGUAGAGCAACGCAUUCGUAAUGCGUAGGUCGGCGGUUCGAGUCCGCUGGAUGGCU